ACAGUAGAGCCAUUCAGAUGGCUGGGUUCACACUAAAGUGCAAGAAGGCCCGAGAGUGGUUUAAGAACUAUGUGAACCCGAGAUUGGAUAGUCUAUCUUGGGAGGAGUUUGCUAAUGAGUUUGCAGGAUGGGCUUUCCCUGACAGUUCAAGGGAGCUGAAGAUGAUUGAAUUUGAGCAGUUGAGGCAGACGGAUGAGAUGAGUGUGGAUGAGUACACAGA
Molecule: long non-coding RNA, 220 nt
Filed under: Manihot esculenta (cassava)
Lineage: Eukaryota; Viridiplantae; Streptophyta; Magnoliopsida; Malpighiales; Euphorbiaceae
Description: long non-coding RNA (MESC_LNC012896)
Source: RNAcentral